CCUACGGGAGGCAGCAGUGAGGAAUAUUGGUCAAUGGCCGGAAGGCUGAACCAGCCAUGCCGCGUGAAGGUCAGUGCCCUAUGGGCGUUAAACUUCUUUUGUGCGGGAGCAAUAAUGGUCACGUGUGGCCAGACGAGAGUACCGUACGAAUAAGCAUCGGCUAACUCCGUGCCAGCAGCCGCGGUAAUACGUAGGGGGCAAGCGUUAUCCGGAUUUACUGGGUGUAAAGGGAGCGUAGACGGUUAUGCAAGUCUGAAGUGAAAGCCCAAGGCUCAACCAUGGGACUGCUUUGGAAACUGUAAAAC
Molecule: ribosomal RNA, 305 nt
Filed under: uncultured bacterium
Lineage: Bacteria
Description: bacterial SSU rRNA
Rfam family: Bacterial small subunit ribosomal RNA
Source: RNAcentral